CUCAGUAACACGUGGAUAACCUACCCUUGGGACUGGGAUAACCCCGGGAAACUGGGGAUAAUACCGGAUAGAUCAUGGAUGCUGGAAUGCGCCUUGAUCUAAAGCUCCGGCGCCCAAGGAUGGGUCUGCGGCCUAUCAGGUUGUAGUGGGUGUAACGUACCUACUAGCCGACGACGGGUACGGGUUGUGAGAGCAAGAGCCCGGAGAUGGAUUCUGAGACACGAAUCCAGGCCCUAUGGGGUGCAGCAGGCGCGAAACCUUUACAAUGUGCGAAAGCAUGAUAAGGGAACUCCGAGUGCCAGCAUCUAAUGCUGGCUGUCCUUGUGCCUAAAACGCACAAGAUAGCAAGGGCCGGGUAAGACCGGUGCCAGCCGCCGCGGUAACACCGGCGGCCCGAGUGGUAGCCGCUAUUAUUGGGUCUAAAGGGUCCGUAGCCGGUUCGAUAAGUCCUCUGGGAAAUCUGGUUGCUUAACAAUCAGACUGCCAAGGGAUACUGUCGAACUUGAGACCGGGAGAGGUAAGAGGUACUUCAGGGGUAGGAGUGAAAUCUUGUAAUCCCUGGGGGACCAUCUGUGGCGAAGGCGUCUUACCAGAACGGGUCUGACGGUGAGGGACGAAAGCUGGGGGCGCAAACCGGAUUAGAUACCCGGGUAGUCCCAGCCGUAAACGAUGCUCGCUAUGUGUCAGGUACGGUGUGACCGUAUCUGGUGCCGUAGGGAAGCCGUGAAGCGAGCCACCUGGGAAGUAUGGUCGCAAGACUGAAACUAAAG
This 770-nucleotide ribosomal RNA is filed under the name uncultured archaeon. RNAcentral's name for it is "bacterial SSU rRNA". It matches the Rfam family "Archaeal small subunit ribosomal RNA", at positions 89 to 861 of the family's 1478-position model. The record is from RNAcentral.